Non-coding RNA from Pelobates cultripes (western spadefoot toad), 379 nucleotides. NCBI's taxonomy places the organism in Eukaryota, Metazoa, Chordata, Amphibia, Anura, Pelobatidae. The record is from the annotation of a GenBank genome assembly.
GGUGGUAACUGUCACUAGUCACCCCAUCACUCUAUCACCUGCCACCCCUUCACUCUGUCACUAGUCACCCCCUCACUCUAGUGACAGAGAGAGGGAGGGUGUGACUAGUGACAGAGAGAGGGAGGGUGUGACUAGUGACAGAGUGAGGGAGGGAAGGGGUGACUAGUGAGAGUGAGGGAGGUGGUGAUUAGUGACAGAGGGAGGAAUGGGGUGACUAUCACUGUGUCACCCCCUUCCUCACUCUGUCACUAGUCACCCUCUCCCUCCCUCACUCGGUCACUAUUCACCCCCUCUCUCACUCUGUCACCAGUCAUUCCCUCACUCUGUCACCAGUCAUCUCUUCCUUCCCUCACUCUGCCACUAUUCAUCCCUUCCCUCA